Molecule: long non-coding RNA, 635 nt
Filed under: Sorghum bicolor (sorghum)
Lineage: Eukaryota; Viridiplantae; Streptophyta; Magnoliopsida; Poales; Poaceae
Description: long non-coding RNA (SBIC_LNC005673)
Source: RNAcentral
UAAUUUGCAUUACUAGUAUUUCUGCUAUUCCCUUCUGCUACUACUUUUGGAAGACAUGACUGAACUGAAACACCUAAUUACACAUUAUUGUUCUUUUGGGCCCCGUCAGUUAUGACUGAACUGAAACACCUAAUUACAUAGUAUUGUUCUUUUGGCCCCCGUCAGUUGGCUUUAUGGAGAUAUAAUCCUCUGUGUGAUGUUGACAGUUUCAGCAAUCAAAUUGAUUCUGUAUCAAGGUAAAAGAGAUUUGACCCAUAUGGCUUAUCGAAGUAUGCAAGAUUGUUAUUUUCUGGUGUUUGCCAAGUUCUUUGCAUGCAUUUUGAAGAAACUACACCGACCAAGCAGGCCUGCUAAGUGUGUACUUAUGCUACUUUUGAUUUAUUUAGACAAAAAGAAAGGAAUCUCUUGCAUGGGCCUUUCCUUCUUGUCGAGGUAGAAUUUAUGCGUUAAGAAUGUCUUUAGGUUCCACUUGGAAGACUCAUGGAGCAUUCCUGCUUGAUCACUGUAUCCCUGUUGCUAGUUACUGUGUCUUCAACUCUGUACCUCUUUUGAUUAACUACUGGUCAUGUAACUUGGCAUCUUGUAAACAACUUGUUUUUCAUAAAAUAUUAAAAGCUUAUAAAUUUCAACUUCUU